UCUGAAGAAAAGGCAGUUUUGGCGGUGAGAAUUCUGAUCUGCAUUGCCAUGGAACAUCUGCUCAUAUGUGUAUUCUGCUUGGUUGUCCACGUGACGUGCGCGAAGUCAUGUGACAUGCUGGCCUACGUCACCAUUUUUCUAAGCGCAUUAGCAGGCACAGAAUCGCUCGCAGGGGUAUUGACGUACGUACUGACAUACUUUGUUCUAGUUCAGGCGACUUCAUUCCCGUACGGCGUUGCCUUUGUGUGUGCAAACGUUGGAGCUGGCGUUUCAUUUAUGGCGUCAAUAUUGGCGCUCGCUGCCAAACGUUGUGUUAACAAUGAUGUGACGAACGUACAACGAUUUUAAAAUGAUCUAUUGUUCAGCCUUUAAUUUGUAUCAAACAACGAAAUUAAUUUGUUAUGUUCGUUUGUUCCUUAAAAUGCUGAAGUUGUAUCUUUCCGAAAUUUAAUUUUUAACUCGCGUUUCAAAACAUAAUUUUGACACUCUAAUGUUUCAAAAUCAACAAAGUAUGAACACUGGAAAUGUUUACAAUUUUAAAAUGAGAGGAGCAUAUCUUGCUUGUCUGGCUUUGCUUAUUUACAAUUUAAACCCCGCUUUGACGAUGAUAUCAUCGUAGACCUCUGCAUGCAUCUGCUACAAUCGGGUCACCAGCGAAUUGUAAACAAACAGACGUUUUGACUGGUUAUAUUCAUUAAAAAGUAUCGAUCAGGGUUUGCAGAUGUCUUUAAAUGCUUUAUCAAUAGUAAUUUGUAAUGUAUACGAACACAAGGCUAUUAUCAUACAAAUCAGCAUCUUUAAAUCUUGUUUGUAUCAUGAAUUAUUUAUUGUUGUUAAGGUUGUUUGACAAUUAUGUUAAUAGUUUCCGUAUCAAGUGUUUUUAGUUUUCGCACCAAUUUCUUUGUUGUUAAAUACUCGACAAUGUGUUCUGUAACACAGCUAUACAUAUUAUGUGCAUCAGGCUUUGUAAGCAUAUUCCAUACGAGAGCAAUAUAUAGCAGCACAGAACAAGACAGCUACACACCAAAGGAGCAAAAUCAGAUAUGAAUUAGAAAAAUAAAACUUGAAGUUGUUUAAAACUUUUUUUGCUAUGAAACAAAUUGUUAUUUUUCACAGACGACUCGUUAAUAAAAUUGGUAGAUAAUUA
Dreissena polymorpha is the source of this 1147-nucleotide long non-coding RNA. RefSeq lists it as uncharacterized. The transcript has 2 exons. The record is from RefSeq and is a predicted model, not a curated record. NCBI's taxonomy places the organism in Eukaryota, Metazoa, Mollusca, Bivalvia, Myida, Dreissenidae.